RNAcentral lists this small RNA (703 nucleotides) under Drosophila ananassae. Its description in RNAcentral is "GF27677". The record is from RNAcentral. Lineage: Eukaryota; Metazoa; Arthropoda; Insecta; Diptera; Drosophilidae.
UUUGUUUACAGUGACUUACUGAAUAUCUGCUUUUAUUUUGGGUAUUCAAAAGGGUCAAUAUAAGCGGAAGAAUUGGCUUUAUCUUGAUUUGUACACUGACGACAAUAAAUUUAAAGUGACUUACUGAAUAUCUGCUUUUAUUUUGGGUGUUCAAAAGGGUCAAUAUAAGCGGAAGAAUUGGCUUUAUCUUGAUUUGUACACUGACGACAAUAAAUUUAAAGUGACUUACUGAAUAUCUGCUUUUAUUUUGGGUGUUCAAAAGGGUCAAUAUAAGCGGAAGAAUUGGCUUUAUCUUGAUUUGUACACUGACGACAAUAAAUUUAAAGUGACUUAUUGAAUAUCUGCUUUUAUUUUGGGUGUUCAAAAGGGUCAAUAUAAGCGGAAGAAUUGGCUUUAUCUUGAUUUGUACACUGACGACAAUAAAUUUAAAGUGACUUACUGAAUAUCUGCUUUUAUUUUGGGUGUUCAAAAGGGUCAAUAUAAGCGGAAGAAUUGGCUUUAUCUUGAUUUGUACACUGACGACAAUAAAUUUAAAGCUCGAUACUUGGCCAUUUCCGGGUUCACAAAGCUCGAUAAAUUUUCAAGUGGCUUGGAGAUUAUGGUGGCCACUAGAGGUCUGCAUUCAAAUCAAAUCAUUUAAAUCGACCGUUAAUUAUUGAAUUUUGGGGACUGAUAAUUCUGUCGUUAGGCGCCGCUCGACCGC